Molecule: long non-coding RNA, 287 nt
Organism: Sinocyclocheilus grahami
Lineage: Eukaryota; Metazoa; Chordata; Actinopteri; Cypriniformes; Cyprinidae
Exons: 3
Source: RefSeq, a predicted model, not a curated record
GUUCACUUCCUUCUGAGCCGAGAGAAGUUAGUCUCGUGGUUCGUCGAGGCAUUAAACGGUGUUUACUUAAAUGAAGAGAGUCACAAAAUUCAUGUUUUCAACAUAUUUCCCCAUUUAUGCAGAAAAUAAAGACAGUGCCAAGCAAUGAGAGGUCUGAAGUUUCUUUAUUGAGUGACAUCAACACAACGCAGAGUGGAUUCCCUUACCUGGGACCCGAUACAAUGUACAAUGUUAACUCCGGCAAGUAUGGGGGUAGAAUCGUUGCAUAAUUCCAAAUAAAUACAUUA